GAAGAACAAAUGUGUAAGUAACUAUGCACGUCUUGACGGUACCUAAUCAGAAAGCCACGGCUAACUACGUGCCAGCAGCCGCGGUAAUACGUAGGUGGCAAGCGUUAUCCGGAAUUAUUGGGCGUAAAGCGCGCGUAGGCGGUUUUUUAAGUCUGAUGUGAAAGCCCACGGCUCAACCGUGGAGGGUCAUUGGAAACUGGAAAACUUGAGUGCAGAAGAGGAAAGUGGAAUUCCAUGUGUAGCGGUGAAAUGCGCAGAGAUAUGGAGGAACACCAGUGGCGAAGGCGACUUUCUGGUCUGUAACUGACGCUGAUGUGCGAAAGCGUGGGGAUCAAACAGGAUUAGAUACCCUGGUAGUCCACGCCGUAAACGAUGAG
Molecule: ribosomal RNA, 377 nt
Filed under: Staphylococcus sp. CL3.8
Lineage: Bacteria; Bacillati; Bacillota; Bacilli; Caryophanales; Staphylococcaceae
Description: bacterial SSU rRNA
Rfam family: Bacterial small subunit ribosomal RNA
Source: RNAcentral